RNAcentral lists this ribosomal RNA (442 nucleotides) under uncultured bacterium. RNAcentral's name for it is "partial 16S ribosomal RNA". It matches the Rfam family "Bacterial small subunit ribosomal RNA", at positions 338 to 795 of the family's 1533-position model. The record is from RNAcentral.
CCUACGGGAGGCAGCAGUAGGGAAUCUUUCACAAUGGGCGAAAGCCUGACGGAGCAACGCCGCGUGCAGGAUGAAGGCCUUCGGGUUGUAAACUGCUUUUAUAAGCGAGAAAUAUGAUGGUAACUUAUGAAUAAGGAUCGGCUCACUACUUGCCAGCAGCCGCGGUCAUACGUAGGAUCCGAGCAUUAUCCGGAGUGACUGGGGGUAAAGAGUUGCGUAGGUGGCAUAAGAAGUAGCUAGUGCAAUCUGGUGGCUCAACCAUUCAGACUAUUAGCUAAACUGUUAAGCUCGAGAGCGUUAGGGGUAAGUGGAAUUGCUAGUGUAGGAGUGAAAUCCGUAGAUAUUAGAAGGAACACCAAUAGCGUAGGCAGGUUACUGGGACGGUUCUGACACUAAGGCACGAAAGCGUAGGGAGCAAACGGGAUUAGAUACCCCUGUAGUC